UGGUUCUGGCAUCGAUGAAGAACGCAGCGAAAUGCGAUAAGUAAUGUGAAUUGCAGAAUUCAGUGAAUCAUCGAAUCUUUGAACGCACAUUGCGCCCUGUGGUAUUCCGCAGGGCAUGCCUGUUCGAGCGUCAUUUAACCACUCACGCCUAGCGUGGUAUUGGGGUACGCGGUCUCGCGGCCCUCAAGAUUAGUGGCGGCGCCGUCUGGCUCUAAGCGUAGUAAUUCUCUCGCUAUAGGGUCCAGGUGACCACCUGCCAUAACCCCCCAUUCUUUACGGUUGACCUCGGAUCAGGUAGGGAUACCCGCUGA
RNAcentral lists this unclassified non-coding RNA (311 nucleotides) under uncultured fungus. Its description in RNAcentral is "partial contains 5.8S ribosomal RNA and internal transcribed spacer 2". The stretch from base 1 to 133 matches the Rfam family "5.8S ribosomal RNA", at positions 22 to 154 of the family's 154-position model. Lineage: Eukaryota; Fungi. The record is from RNAcentral.